Molecule: ribosomal RNA, 17 nt
Filed under: Symbiodinium sp. One0507dir
Lineage: Eukaryota; Dinophyceae; Suessiales; Symbiodiniaceae
Also listed under: 1 other name
Description: partial 28S ribosomal RNA
Source: RNAcentral
CAGGUGCAUGCCUCUAG